RNAcentral lists this unclassified non-coding RNA (334 nucleotides) under soil metagenome. RNAcentral describes it as "partial contains 5.8S ribosomal RNA, internal transcribed spacer 2, and large subunit ribosomal RNA". The stretch from base 5 to 119 matches the Rfam family "5.8S ribosomal RNA", at positions 40 to 154 of the family's 154-position model. The record is from RNAcentral.
GAUGAGAACGCAGCGAAAUGCGAUAAGUAAUGUGAAUUGCAGAAUUCAGUGAAUCAUCGAAUCUUUGAACGCACAUUGCGCCCAUUAGUAUUCUAGUGGGCAUGCCUGUUCGAGCGUCAUUUCAACCCUUAAGCCUAGCUUAGUAUUGGGAAUCGACUUUACUGUCGUUCCUCAAAUUCAACGGCGGAUUUAUAGCAAUCUCUGAACGUAGUAAUUUUUUUCCUCGUUUUUGAAAUACUAUAAACCUCAGCCGCUAAACCCCCAAUUUUUCUAUGGUUGACCUCGGAUCAGGUAGGAAUACCCGCUGAACUUAAGCAUAUCAAUAAGCGGAGGA